Molecule: ribosomal RNA, 253 nt
Filed under: uncultured bacterium
Lineage: Bacteria
Description: partial 16S ribosomal RNA
Rfam family: Bacterial small subunit ribosomal RNA
Source: RNAcentral
UACGUAGGGUGCGAGCGUUAAUCGGAAUUACUGGGCGUAAAGCGUGCGCAGGCGGUUUUGUAAGUCAGAUGUGAAAUCCCCGGGCUUAACCUGGGAACUGCGUUUGAAACUACAAGGCUAGAGUGUAGCAGAGGGGGGUGGAAUUCCACGUGUAGCAGUGAAAUGCGUAGAGAUGUGGAGGAACACCGAUGGCGAAGGCAGCCCCCUGGGUUAACACUGACGCUCAGGCACGAAAGCGUGGGGAGCGAUCCGG